RNAcentral lists this ribosomal RNA (584 nucleotides) under uncultured bacterium. RNAcentral's name for it is "partial 16S ribosomal RNA". It matches the Rfam family "Bacterial small subunit ribosomal RNA", at positions 355 to 1376 of the family's 1533-position model. The record is from RNAcentral.
UGGGGAAUUUUGGACAAUGGGCGAAAGCCUGAUCCAGCAAUGCCGCGUGUGUGAAGAAGGCCUUCGGGUUGUAAAGCACUUUUGUCCGGAAAGAAAUCCUUGGCUCUAAUACAGUCGGGGGAUGACGGUACCGGAAGAAUAAGCACCGGCUAACUACGUGCCAGCAGCCGCGGUAAUACGUAGGGUGCAAGCGUUAAUCGGAAUUACUGGGCGUAAGCGUGCGCAGGCGGUUUGCUAAGACCGAUGUGAAAUCCCCGGGCUCAACCUGGGAACUGCAUUGGUGGCUGGCAGGCUAGAGUAUGGCAGAGGGGGGUAGAAUUCCACGUGUAGCAGUGAAAUGCGUAGAGAUGUGGAGGAAUACCGAUGGCGAAGGCAGCCCCCUGGGCCAAUACUGACGCUCAUGCACGAAAGCGUGGGGAGCAAACAGGAUUAGAUACCCUGGUAGUCCACGCCCUAAACGAUGUCAACUAGUUGUUGGGGAUUCAUUUCCUUAGUAACGUAGCUAACGCGUGAAGUUGACCGCCUGGGGAGUACGGUCGCAAGAUUAAAACUCAAAGAAUUGACGGGGUCAUAGCUGUUUCCUG